GUGCGUAGGCGGUUUGGUAAGUCUGAUGUGAAAUCUAUGGGCUCAACUCAUAGUCUGCAUCGGAAACUGCCGGGCUUGAGUAUGGGAGAGGUGAGUGGAAUUCCUGGUGUAGCGGUGAAAUGCGUAGAUAUCAGGAGGAACACCUGUGGCGAAAGCGGCUCACUGGACCAUAACUGACGCUGAUGCACGAAAGCUAGGGGAGCAAACAGGAUUAGAUACCCUGGUAGUCCACGCCCUAAACGAUGUCAACUAGUUGUCGGGUCUUCAUUGACUUGGUAACGUAGCUAACGCGUGAAGUUGACCGCCUGGGGAGUACGGUCGCAAGAUUAAAACUCAAAGGAAUUGACGGGGACCCGCACAAGCGGUGGAUGAUGUGGAUUAAUUCGAUGCAACGCGAAAAACCUUACCUACCCUUGACAUGGACGGAACCUGGCUGAAAGGCCGGGGUGCUCGAAAGAGAACCGUCGCACAGGUGCUGCAUGGCUGUCGUCAGCUCGUGUCGUGAGAUGUUGGGUUAAGUCCCGCAACGAGCGCAACCCUUGUCCCUAGUU
This 551-nucleotide ribosomal RNA is filed under the name uncultured bacterium. RNAcentral describes it as "bacterial SSU rRNA". It matches the Rfam family "Bacterial small subunit ribosomal RNA", at positions 567 to 1116 of the family's 1533-position model. The record is from RNAcentral.